CCUACGGGGGGCAGCAGUGGGGAAUAUUGGGCAAUGGGCGCAAGCCUGACCCAGCAACGCCGCGUGAAGGAAGCCGGCUUUCGGGUUGUCCCCUUCUUUUCUCCGGGACGCCGCCAGUGCCGGUACCUGAUGAAUAAGCCACGGCUAACUACGUGCCAGCAGCCGCGGUAAUACGUAGGUGGCAAGCGUUAUCCGGAUUUACUGGGUGUAAAGGGCGUGUAGGCGGGAGUGCAAGUCCGAUGUGAAAACUAUGGGCUCAACCCAUAGCCUGCAUUUGAAACUGUACUUCUUGAGUGCUGGAGAGG
RNAcentral lists this ribosomal RNA (305 nucleotides) under uncultured bacterium. RNAcentral's name for it is "bacterial SSU rRNA". It matches the Rfam family "Bacterial small subunit ribosomal RNA", at positions 338 to 657 of the family's 1533-position model. The record is from RNAcentral.